RNAcentral lists this ribosomal RNA (404 nucleotides) under uncultured prokaryote. RNAcentral describes it as "bacterial SSU rRNA". It matches the Rfam family "Bacterial small subunit ribosomal RNA", at positions 355 to 774 of the family's 1533-position model. The record is from RNAcentral.
UGGGGAAUAUUGGGCAAUGGGGGGAACCCUGACCCAGCGACGCCGCGUGGGUGAAGAAAUCCCUCGGGAUGUAAAGCCCUGUUGUAUGGGAAGAGCGGAAGACGGUACCAUACGAGGAAGCCCCGGCAAACUACGUGCCAGCAGCCGCGGUAAUACGAAGGGGGCAAGCGUUGUCCGGAAUUACUGGGCGUAAAGCGCACGCAGGCUGAAUUAUAAGUCGGUAGUAAAAGGCGGGGGCUCAACUUCCGUAUAUCUAUCGAUACUGUAAGGCUAGAGUAUGUGAGAGGGAAGCGGAAUGCCCGGUGUAGCGGUGAAAUGCGUAGAUAUCGGGAGGAACACCAGUGGCGAAGGCGGCUUCCUGGCACAAUACUGACGCUCAUGUGCGAAAGCUAGGGCAGCGAACG